Molecule: non-coding RNA, 3395 nt
Organism: Misgurnus anguillicaudatus (oriental weatherfish)
Lineage: Eukaryota; Metazoa; Chordata; Actinopteri; Cypriniformes; Cobitidae
Source: RefSeq, a predicted model, not a curated record
UAUAAGCCCCUCUGUUAACUUUUGUUCAAGCCUGUCUAGAUCUUUUAUCAGUCUAGAAAGAUGUUGGAGAAAAGACAUCAUCCUCUUCUAUAAUCUCCAUCUGUAAUUGGACUAACAACUGGACCAGUGAAUGCAGGCAACUUACUCUCCAUUCGACCUUGCAGGUCACACCAUGGUCUCAAGAGGGAAAAUGAGUGCUCUAUGGAUUGAACAGAAAAGGAGAAUCAAAACUCCAACCAUCUGUAUGAGGGUCUGGAUGGAUAAAGGAUGCCCACUGGAGCUGGAAAUGAUGGAUCAGGUCAUUUUCAUUUGUCACAUUUACAAAGAAGCACACUCUAAGGAUUGCGUUACCCUGUCUGUGGCAAAUACACUAGACAAAAGUAUUGGGAGGCCUCAUUCUAAUAAACAUGUUUAUUUAUUCCAGUGUUUCCAAUCAAAACAAAUAUAAAUGCUAUACCAUAUAAUACCACUACAAAGAGUUUUGUUUUUUCAUUUUUGUUGCAACAGUUUUGUAAGUGCCUUUUUCUGUUCCGAAAUGACUACAGCUUCUUGUACAAGUCAUUGAUAGGUUUAAGUGAUGAGUUUUGGGCUAAAAACCUUAAAGUUAAGUUAAGGUCUGGGCUUUAUUCAGACCAGUCAAAGUUCUUCCACACCAGACUGAAUCACUCAUUUUCUGUUUGAACCUUACUUUGUUUGUAGGGUCAUUCUUAAGUUGGUAUUGAAAAGGGCCCUGCCAAAACACUUGCUAUAAAUUUAGCAUCAAACGGUUUUUCUAGAAUAUCAUAUGCUGUAGCAUUAAGAUUUGUGCUCAUGGAAAUAAGUAAAGUAUUUAAACCUGUUUAUUAGAAGGAGGCGUCGCAAUAGUUAUGUCUAUAUAGUUUAUGUUUAACAAGCCAAAAUAACCAGGGCUGCUUCUUUUUAAGAACUUUUGGGUAUUUUUAAAUCAGACAGAGGAAUAACAGUCCUUAAAUGUGUAAUGUACUGCCAUAAUUUCGUAAUGAUCAAAAGUGAGGUCAGAUUCUUGUUAACCUACUGUGUUCUUUCUUGAUGGUUAGCCGAGGGUCCCAGGACAGAAAAUCUGUUUCGUAUGGAUCAGAGUCAGACAUUAACAUCUAAUAUGUAAUAUCUAGUGAUAUGUUUUCUUAGAUAAUGCUGUGAACAAAUGCUCUUUUACCUUGAAUAUUAGGUGGAUCCACACUUGAACCAUCUGUAUGAUGAUCUGCACCCACUGGAUCUGUAAAUGGUGGUGCAGGUUUCUGAAUUGAUGUCAGAUGCAAAGCAGAAGUUUAUUUUCUUCCAGUUUGGCUUCAUUGUGGAAAAAUGCUGGAAACUAAAAUGCAGAAUUCUGGCCUGGUGUUUGGUCCACCCUUUGUGUCUCCAUCAUCAUUACACUCUUGUCAGUGUAAUAGUAUCGUCGUCUGCGUACCAGGACUUUGUUUCUCAGCUGUCCCUUCUCCUUCAAGCUACAUUUUUGUCAAGCUGCAACAAGUUGGAAUACAUAAUUAUUAACGUUUAAGGAUUUUGAUGUAUGAAAUAUGUAACAAAAGCAAAAAAUGUACAGACAUUCUAUUAAGAAAUUACCUUUUUGUUGUUUGUUUACUGACCUUUCAACCAUAUUGCAUUUAUAAUUGAUCAUCAUACCUUUGGUCUACUGUUAACAGGCUACUGUAGAAAACUUUGAAUAAAGUCAAAAAAAAGAGAAAAAAUUAUAAAUGCUGAAUGUGUCUCAUCUUAAAUACAUUGUUGUUGUUUUUUUCAUUGAAUUUGGAUGUUUUGAUGAUUUAAGGAAAAUUUACGUAGCAUAUAUAUUGAUGUUUUAAUUCAGAGUUUGUUAAUGACACUUAAUCAUUAACAAACAUUUAAAAAGGUUUAUUACAAUACUAAUUGAUAAUAUUAAAUUAAUGUAAUAAUCUUGUUUUGUUACACCCUAAAUCACUGAGCGCACAAACGCUACCCCAGUUACAAGCAUGGGUGGUUGACUUCAUGCAGACAUGCGCAGACAUCGAAGUACCGCGAGAGUGAUUCAAAAGCCCACGAAACAGUGUAAUCACGCGGUACUGUGACGUCAUACUGGUUAACGCUAAGCCACGUGAAGCCGGACACAAGGGCUGCACUAAUCUUUGGGCUGGAGUAGCAUGUGGCUUACGUGUCUCGUCGCAGAACGAUUUAUUUCUCUUUUUCACCUCGAUCUUUGGCCUCUUGUGAUUUAACAAAACCAACAUGUGAAGUUACAACGCUGACGAAGGAGUUUAAUCAGUAACGUUAGAGAGUGUCCUGGUAAACGUGUGCUUGGAAACAUGCAGAUUACAGUAUUUACAGAGCCGACCUUGAGGCUAUUUUUUUUGCAUGACAUCCACUGAUGGAUAAUCUGUUUACCUAAAAACAGCACUUCAGGAGAAACCUGCCUGUGAUCUGCUAAGAUGCACAGAUUCAACUCUGGCCCAUUGUCAUCCCAACACCUUAUCUGCCAUCAGUUUCGUUUAGUGUCGAUCUAUUGCAAAAGUUCUUAUAAACUUUAAAUGAGACUUUGUGUUAAGCAGGGGUUUCCAAACUUUUAAUUUCACAACAUAUUAAGCCCAGGAUACACAGCAGGAUUUUUGCAAUCCAAUAAGACCUUAUCACACUGUGUGACAAGAAUUGUUUAAACUUUAGCAGUAGACUGUCGAUGAAGACACCUAUUGCAUCUGAGGCUGCGACAUCCGUCAUCAGCAUGCGCUAGUGGUAAACAAAUACAGGUAUGCAGGUCGUAGAAGCAAACACGUUGUUGAUGUGCGUUGAUCAUGCUGAACUUCUUACACUGUCAUAAAACUAUCGUAGGUGUCUUUGGUCCCAGGACUGGGAAAAGAGGUCUUUAAACCUCUCACACUGUAUGAGAUAGGACCACCAAUUAAGAGCCACGAUCACAGAAAUCUCCACGAUUGUUUCACGAUUGGUAAUCUUUCAUCUGGGACAGCCAAAAAUCGUGCCGUGUAUUAUGGGCUUUAGACAUGUGUAAUCUUAUAGUAUAUCAAAACCAUUGCUAAUAAUUAAUUGGACAAACCAUCACUACAAUGCAACACUCGCUAUCUUACGGUGCGACCCACAAGUGGGUCUUCACCCACAGCUUAAAAACCCUGAGUAUGAGUAAGAGUAUGUUGUAUUGUAAUUAAAGUCACAUCUUAGUGUUAUGGAGCAGUUUGUCAUUAUAUUCACAGUAUUACAUGGUUCUUUCAGCAGUUUCUACGUUACAAUGCUCUUAAAGUGUCCUGAUCAGCUUUGGGUCUUGUGAAGUAAUGUAAUGAGAAUGUGAUCAAUAGCUUUGCAGUAUUUUUGGUUAAACAUUUUAUUCAAAUUUGGUAAACAAUCUAGUCAAUAUAAUUCAUGCUGUGAUGCUGGAUUAAACCUGGUCAAAUGAA